This 70-nucleotide non-coding RNA is filed under the name unclassified sequences. RNAcentral's name for it is "narK RNA". It matches the Rfam family "narK RNA". The record is from RNAcentral.
GGCACGUUAGAUGCUUCACAAUCGAUACGGUAGGCCAACGGCGGUCUCCACCCUAAGACAAAGGCGUCGC